This 253-nucleotide ribosomal RNA is filed under the name uncultured bacterium. RNAcentral describes it as "partial 16S ribosomal RNA". It matches the Rfam family "Bacterial small subunit ribosomal RNA", at positions 524 to 776 of the family's 1533-position model. The record is from RNAcentral.
UACAGAGGUCUCAAGCGUUGUUCGGAUUCAUUGGGCGUAAAGGGUGCGUAGGCGGCGCGUUAAGUCGGGUGUGAAAUCUUGGAGCUUAACUCCGAAACUGCAUUCGAUACUGCCGUGCUUGAGGACUGGAGAGGAGACUGGAAUUUACGGUGUAGCGGUGAAAUGCGUAGAUAUCGUAAGGAAGACCAGUGGCGAAGGCGGGUCUCUGGACAGUUCCUGACGCUGAGGCGCGAAGGCCAGGGGAGCAAACGGG